Paramormyrops kingsleyae is the source of this 1718-nucleotide long non-coding RNA. RefSeq lists it as uncharacterized. The record is from RefSeq and is a predicted model, not a curated record. NCBI's taxonomy places the organism in Eukaryota, Metazoa, Chordata, Actinopteri, Osteoglossiformes, Mormyridae.
UCAGCCGUGCGCGAUCGCUUUGCGGAUCUCAAGUUAUUUUCGCCUUUUUUCGCCUGCCUACUGUCAGGGCAAAGAGGGAAUAGAGGAUGACCCGUCUUCUCAUGAGAAAACAAUGCACGGCCGGCGAUCGCAAACAGGAGAUGAUCAGAGUAACUGGAGGAAACUUACCGAACACAGAGAGAAGCUGCAAACUUCACACGUGAAGCGGAGGCGGGAUUCGAACCCCCAACCCCGGAGGUGUGAAGCAAUAGCACCACCCACUGAACCAUUGUACAACCCAUUGAUGUGUUGCUUAAAACAAAUUCAGUUUAAAAAGGUACAGGCAUUGUAAAAAUAUCACACCAUGGCCACGCAGUUUCCAGUCACCUGAAAGUGCUCGUCUUCUAAAGCCGUGGCCAAAAAAGGUCGAUUCUCAGAGGCGACGCCUCUGCAGAGGUGGAAGGUGCAGCGUUGCAUUUCCUUAGAAUGAUACUGUGCUGUUACUCCGGACCACAAUCUUUAAUGAAAAGCCACCACAAGGCAAAAAAAACAAGCGGCGCCGCGGCAGGAAACGCGAUGCAACAUCUGCCCUGCACCUAAACAGAUGAGACAAUAAUAAUUGUUCAGCGGCCUUGUGCACAGCCGAGCGGCCUGUCGAUACUGCUGCAAAUCCACAGUCUUUGUUUUUCCUAUUGUCAUACAACUGUAACAGAUUUGUACGAAACAAGGGGGGGAAGUUUAACACUAAUAAUAUAAAAAUGCACAAGACACUGAAGUGAAUUUGGCUGGAGGGAUCGAUGUCCAGGUGUGACUGAUUAAUAGCGACUUAAUGACCUUUCUACAUAUUUUUGUACUGCCAAAUGAUCUUAUCCUAACUGAAAAGCUGCAACCGUCAGAAGAACGUUCUGGAGAGGAUACAGAGCGGCUGUUAUGGAUGCAACCGGAUGCUCCCGGACAUUUAUUGGACAGUUAUGAGGGCAUAAAGGAAUUUCUGGGCACGACUGGCACGUGGAGCUACACCAGGCUGCACUGCAUUACGUCCUGUUAGCUUUACCCUCAUUCAACUGCACGUCACACGUUAAAAAACAAAAAACAAACACACUGCCUAUUGACUGCUUUGUUUUUUGCCAUGUAUGGUUCAUCUCAGACAGGACAUGCAUAUUAUUAUUAUUAUUUUUAACUGGUUUUUAAUAAGUAACAGUCUAUGCAAAGCUUGUCUCUUGAGCCCGCCUAUUUUUUGCGUGUGUCUUUAAGGUGCCGGAACACGCUGGUCUGCAUUCCGGAAGUUUCCCAUAGCUGUCCCACUUACACUGUGGUGACAGGUGGGGCGCAGUCAGCGAGUGGCCGCUGGCCCCCGACGUCAACAUAGACACUAACUUUUCCGUUUCUGCUCUUCUGCGGAACUCGCACCCCCGGGCAGGAGCUCACCGAUCUGGCGAGUCGAGCCGCUCAGCCUGGUCUGUGGUUUCCCUGCACCCUGCGACCUAAGUGCAUCUCUCCCUUGAGUCCCCCCCCCUCCCCCCACACAUACACACACACAAAUGCAGGACCGUGUCAGUAAUGCUGUGGCGUCGUGUUUUCUACAAAUCCUGCGAAAGCGUCAGCUGGGAGAAGAACUCCUCUGAGGCAGCCCUACCAGAAAUAAUUUCCCUUCCCUAAGCUGCCUUCACUGAAACUGGCAUAUUAAUGACUGGUGGCUGUGUGAGAGAACGCAGUAAAGAGUAUAUUUCAUAAGCUCA